RNAcentral lists this long non-coding RNA (2062 nucleotides) under Sus scrofa (pig). RNAcentral describes it as "lncRNA (ENSSSCG00025013918.1)". Lineage: Eukaryota; Metazoa; Chordata; Mammalia; Artiodactyla; Suidae. The record is from RNAcentral.
GGCAUAUGGAAGUUUCUGGGCCAGGGGUCAAAUCAGAGCUGCAGCCUGACCUGCGCCACAGCCACAGUAACACUGGAUCUGAGCCAUGUAUGUGACCUACGCCACAACUUUGGCAGCACAGGAUCCUUCACCCACCGAGCGAGGUUAGGGCUUGAGCCUGCAGCCUCACAGAGAUGACGCUGUGUCCUUAACCCCCUGCACCACAGCGGAAAUGCCAAUCCUCACAAUUCUUCCAGGAGACUUUCCUUCAGGAUGUGAGAUCGCAAGGGCCCUCUUUCCGAGGACAGUGCUGCAUCCCCAGCAACUAGAGCAUCCCAGAGUGGAUGCUGGGUAAAUAUUGUCCGAUGAACUUUUAUAGACGAGGAUGCUGAGGCUUGGCGAGUUCAGGCGACCUCCCCAUCACGAUACAGCUGUCUGGAGCCAAAUCAUGCUUUCGGCACUAUCCACACUGAAUUGCCCCUGCCCAGCAAUUUCUCAUUCCCAAGAAAGUUCUCAGUACGGUUAGGGUCUUGAGGUUCAGAGGUGAGGGCCGUAAUACCCAGGGGCCACAACAUGGCUCUUAACCGUGGUACAUGUGUGGCUUAGGCUGGCUGUGGAUGUCACAGAACCCCAGAAGUUCUGUCUUAAAACCGACUGGGGACACAGGAGUGUGGAAACAGUAUUGGAGAGACUGGGGAUUCCCCUCCCCCUUUGCCCCUCCGGCCUGACUCUUCCCUUUAUUGUCACUCCUCACAAAAAAAGUCAGAAUGCCUCUGUGCAUUCUCUCUUUUUCCUGAACAUUCAUGUCAGCAGGUUCCUCCUUUUCCUGAACGUUCGUGAGCCACUGAUGUCCCCUGUUAAAUGCACUGCUUUCAGGGCUGACUUUCAGGUUGGAUUAAAAGAUAUACAGUCCUGUACAAGCGUUAACUCACGGUCGUGUGCUGCAUUUUUAAUGGCCCAGGGAGCUCCUGAAGUCUGAAAUGACAUAUCUUUUACCAACCACCGACCUCAUUUCACUCUGUAAAAAUGCUGGGCUUGUUAUUUAUGCAAAGAAUCUAUCUCUUCAUUAUAAAUCUUGGAAAGAAAUUUCCGUCUUCUCCCUUUAAUGUUAUGUGUUUUUGAGAUUCUAUUUGUGCUACUUUCAGAAAAAAAAAAUCAUCAACUGAAGAAAGUGUUAUGUCACCUUGGCAAAAGAUAAACUAUCCUAACUAGUUAGGGAACCAGUGCUAUUAGAUAUGAGUUGAUCAUCCUUCUUGCCUAGCAUGUCCUUUCUUGUCGUGUAUGUGUGUGUGUGUGUGUGUGUGUGUGUGUGUGUGUGACUAUCUAUCUGCCUGUCCUCUCAACUUAUAAAAAUCAGGAGCCACUAAGUUCAGAAAACAUGUGCCUCUGUAUGAAACUGAUCUGAUCACACAAGCCUUGUAUGCUAGCAGAUGAGGCAGUCGGUCACUAUGUGGCACAGUCUGAAGUUCAAGCAGAAAACAAGGUCCCCGAGUUUUAAUACUGUUAGGGUCAGAUUUGCUACCCUAGCUUGCCUGCUAUUAAUCUGGGAAUCAAGGACUUCCCAUUGUGGUGCAGCAGAAAUGAAUCCAACUAGUAUCCAUGAGGAUGCAGUUUUGAUUCCCAGCCUCACUCAGUGGGUUGGGAUCCAGUGUUGCUGUGAGCUGUGGUGUAGGUCACAGAUGAGGCUUAGAUCCUGCAUUGCUAUGGCUGUGGUGUAUGCUGGCAGCUACAGCUCCCGUUAGACCCCUAGCCUGGGAACUUCCAUAUGCCGUGAGUGUGGACCAAAAAAGCGAAAACAAAGAACAAACCAAAAAAAAAAAAAAAAAAAAAACCUGGGAAUUAAGAGUCAAGUACAAUCAAAUAUAGAGGGAAGAGACAGUAUCCUGAAGUGGAAACUAUGUAGGAUUUAGAAUCCCAGCUCUGUCAUUACUCACUGUGUGUCCUUUGGCAAAUCACUCACCCUCUCUGAACCUGAUUUGUCCCAUCUCUAAAGUGAGUUUAAUGAUAUUUACUUCACAGGGUUGACAAGGCUGGAAUGAGAAAAUAAUUCCUGAAGGCGCUGGGGCCUCCCACCUACUCCCUU